AGGUGGAGGUGGAGGAGGAUAAAAGCUCCAAGUACAAUCUGUGGAGGAAGAGGAACAAAUGCAAGAAGAUGAAGAGCAGGUAAAAAGCAGUGAAAACAAAAUAAGGAGGGUAAGGUGGAUGUGGAGGAGAAGGACGAGAAAGGAAAAAAGCAUUGAUUACAAAAUGAGGACGAGGAGAAAAAAAGCAGCAUCUUCGAACUAUGACAGAGGAGGUGCUGGUGGAGGAGGAGGAAAAAAAAACAGCGAGACUGAAAUGAAAAGGAGGUAGAGGAAUGAAACAGCAACCAAGAAAUGAGGCGGAGGAGGAGGAUGAUAAAAGCACCAAGUACAAUUUGUUGAUAAAAGCAGGAAACACACAAUAGGGAGAGGAAAAAAUCCGCAUCUUCGAAAUAUGGCUGAGGAGGUGGAGGUGGAGGAGGAGGAGGAGAAGGAGGAAAAAAAGAACAGCAAGAACAAAAUGUAAAGGAGAUAGAGGAAUCAAACUCAACAAAGAAAUGAGGCAGAGAAGGUGGAGGUUGAGGUGGAGUAGGAAAAAAAUGAUAUUCACGAAAUAACAAGGAGGAAGAUGAAUAAAUCAGAAACCAAGGAAUGAGGCGGAGGAGGUGGAGGCGGAGGAGGAGGUUGAGGAGGUGGAGGAUAGAAGCAACAACCACAAAACGAGGAGGAAGAGGAGAAAAGCAGCAACCACAACACUAGGCAGUGGAGGAUGAGGAAGAAGAGCUAGACGAGAAAAAAAACCAAUUGGCGACCACGAAUUCACAAGUAGGCAAAGGAAAAAAACAGAAACAAGGAAAUAAAGCGGAAAUAGCGGCGAAAAAGAGAUUACAAGGAGAUAGAGGGAAAAAAAAAACACAAAAUGAGGUGGAGGAGGUCAAGGAGGUGGAAGAGGAUAAAAGCACGAAGUACAAAUUGAGGAAGAGGAGAAAGAAAAGCAGGAGGACGAAGAGCAGGUAAAAAGCAGUGAAAACAAAACAAGGAGGGUAAGGCGCAGGUGGACGUGGUGUAGAAGGUGGAGAAAGGAAACAAGCAAUGACUACAAAAUGAGGACGAGGAGGAAAAGAUGACAUCCUUAUUAGAAAGCUUAGGAAGUGUGGGAUAGAUGAGUGGACAGUGAGGUGGGUUGAGAACUGGCUGACUGGCAGAGCGCAGACGGUCGUUGUUGGUGGUGCAGAGUCUGGCUGGAGACCUGUAACCAGUGGUGUCCCCCAGGGGUCUGUGCUGGGUCCGGUCUUGUUCAACAUCUUCAUCAAUGACCUUGAUGAGGGGAUAGUGGCCACCCUCAGCAAGUUUGCUGAUGAUACGAAGUUGGGAGGAUUGGCUGACACGCCUGAAGGCUGUGCUGCCGUUCAGCGAGACCUGGACAGGCUGGAGA
Molecule: long non-coding RNA, 1372 nt
Filed under: Meleagris gallopavo (turkey)
Lineage: Eukaryota; Metazoa; Chordata; Aves; Galliformes; Phasianidae
Description: lncRNA (ENSMGAG00000021274.1)
Source: RNAcentral